Molecule: long non-coding RNA, 393 nt
Filed under: Phoenix dactylifera (date palm)
Lineage: Eukaryota; Viridiplantae; Streptophyta; Magnoliopsida; Arecales; Arecaceae
Description: long non-coding RNA (PDAC_LNC014581)
Source: RNAcentral
UGGGGUAUUAUGUUGCUUACUGGGCUAAUAUAGCUAAUUACUAUUUUUUUUUAUUUUCAGAUCCCGAUGCAUGAUCGUACGGGACUGAGGAGUGCGCUAGAUUUCUUGAAGAUUCUUCAGAUAUUGGUAUUUUAGUUAGAUUAUUUAGAUUUUUGAAUUAUGUUAGUACAUAUUACUUUGAAACUAUUGUAAGAACUAUUAAUCUGUAGCCUUGCAUGCCUGUACAGUUUGCCGCACAGGCAUGCAGCAUCUGUCGUGCUCUGAGUUCGGAGCAUGACAGAUGUGCCGGUAUUAGAGCCUAGGUUUUAUGAUCCUUAGGAUUCGUUAAAAAGUUUGAGAGUUGGGUAGAAAUUAGGCAAAGAGAUAUAUGUCAUUGUUUGCUUUUGUUUUUGA